GCCCUGGUGGCAUAAUGGUUAAGUGUUCUUGGCUGCUAACCAAAAGGUUGGGAGUUAGAACUCCUGCGGCA
This 71-nucleotide transfer RNA is filed under the name Loxodonta africana (African savanna elephant). It matches the Rfam family "tRNA". Rfam says of the family: Transfer RNA (tRNA) molecules are approximately 80 nucleotides in length. The record is from Rfam by way of RNAcentral. Lineage: Eukaryota; Metazoa; Chordata; Mammalia; Proboscidea; Elephantidae.